UGCAAUCACGAAGAAAAAGGAAUGUGGAAGAAAAUGAAAAAGUAGGAAUAAAUGCAGUGAACAAUUAGAAAGGCCAUAGAGGCGAGCAGUUGCCCAUCCCUGCAGGAAAUACCCUCUAGUGGCCAGAACUGGGUCAGAAGUGUAAUGAGCCAGGCAGCCUGACAUCUGGACUCUUUAGUCCAGCCUCAGGUUUCCACCUGGGUCUGACAACUUCUGAGGUUUGGAGCUCAGAGUAACUUUGGAGUAGAAUCAGAUUCUUCACUUGUAGUAAUGCUGUCGGUGAUGACAAAGAAACUGUACAGGACAAGCUUUGGGUAGCAAGAAAAUAAACACGCAAGGUAGAUGACAAGACAACGGCAACAAAGAAGCAGGUGAGAAACAGUCACCAACCCCAACAGGAAGAGACAUAUGCUCAGUGUAUAAAAUACCCAGCUGGUUGGGACUCCAUGAGCCAAGAGAGUCAAGCAACUUCACGCCAGAGAAUUAGAUGCGUCUUUGCAACCCGGGGAGAUAUAAGAGCUGACUUUUGGUGGCCUGGCUCCAGAGGAACAUAGCUAUCAUCUACUGUUUCCCACUAGGCAUUAGCUUAUGUUUUCAAGAAAGAAGAGGACCUCUGACAGUGUCCUUCUUCAUGUGGGGUCAGUUCCCAGAAUUCAUGGAGAGAAGAAAGAGUUGAUGUGAUGGUGUGAUCAGGUUCAGUACAAGCUGUUGGGUAACAAGUUUCAGAAGGAAAUUGUAAUUUGAAUGUGAAAUGUCCCUCAUAUGCUCAUGUGUUUAAACCCUUGUUCCUCAAUUGGUGAUGCUGUUUGGAAAUGUUCUAGAAACUUGUUGGGUGUGGGUUAAUGGAGGAAGACCUUGAGGUUCUAUAGACCCCCUCACUUCUUAUUUGAUCUCUGCUUCCAAUAGACACAAUGUGAUCCUCUCUCCUCCUCUUCCUCCUCUUCCUCUUCCUCCUCCUCUCCCUCCCUCUCUUCCUCCUCCUCCUUCUCUUCAUCCUCUUUCUCUUCAUCCUCCUCCCCCUCUUUUUUCUCCCCCUCCACCUCCCCUGCCUCCUACUUCUCUUAUUACCACAUCUUCCUCACUGCCGCCAUGAUGUUCUCCACCUUGAUGGAACGAUCCUUUUCAACUCCAAGCUGUAACAAACCCUCCCUCCCAUAAGUUGCUUCUUGUAGGGUAUUUGAUCACAAGAAUAAGGGAAGUAAUUUCAAAUGUCUAGUGGUAGCAGGAGUUAACUAGACAGUGAUAGGAGCAGAUGCCAGAAGGUCCCUACACAGAGCUGAGAAAAUAAAAUCAAACAUCAGUGCUUGAGAAAAGCAGUGAUGUGCAGAAGGAUAAGAAGGAGGCAAGUACAGAAGCUUGUGAUAUGACAGUUCACCUUGCCUUUCCUCCACCUAAGUUGUAUGUUAUAUCGAACUCAGCACACAUCACUUGCUUUUGCUGCUGUGCAUCUUGCAUGCUUCCAAACCUGAGUGGUGCAUCUAGGGACUCAAGUUCAUCGUGUCCCGUGUGUUUGUCAUCCCUUUAAUUUGCAAACUGUUGGAAAGCAGACCUCUAUUUCUUCUUUACCUCUCAGUUCGACAUCCAGAGGCAGAAGUGCAAUAAAUUACAUAAAAAUGAAAAAUUAUUAUGCGGUUUCAUGCUCAAUAUAUCUAGCAUGAAAAAGAAUUCUACCAGGUUGAAAAUCAAGUUGCAACUAUCAAAUUCAUCUUUUUGGAAUCUACAUAGAAACAUGGGCCCUGUCAGUGAUAUUAAUUAAGAUGUUGUUACUUCUAAGCCAUUUGCCCCUCAAACAAAACAUUAGCUAGCCUUCAAGUUUGGACAGUGGAAAUAAAACCCCUGAAUUCUUGGCUAACUGACGCAUCAGGGUUGAUGAUUGAUUGAUGGAUUGUGGUACUACUGUGCAAGCCUAGGGUCAUGCCUAUGCUAGACAAGCCAUCGGCCGUUGAACUAUCUCCCCAGCCCUUUUUAUUUUUUGAGACAGGUUCUCACCGAGUUGCCUAGCCCAGCCUUGGACUUCCUUUAUUGCCUAGGCAAGGCUUGAACUUGUGAUCCUCCUGCCUUAUCCCCUCAACCCUCAAGUCGAUGGGGCCUACACUAGAGUCCUGGAUAGCGGUAGAUAACUCAUCUAGAAGAUUGGACCCAGCAGGGAAGAAUGUAUCCUUGCAUUAAUUUUACAGGAGAAAUUUACAAGUUCUUGCUUUAAGGUUGAGAAUUUCUCAACUGUAAAGUCCUAAGUAGAGCUGAGGCUUUUCUCUGGCCAAUCUGGAUUAUGAUGAAUACCGACCCUUCCGCUGGGUAUUAUUAAACUGCUGGCUGUCAGGCAGGGGCCUCAGCACGUGGGUGGGAUGGGGGAAUCCCUUUUUAGCACUUGGCAGAACCUGAUUUUUAUCUCUAGUUGUCUUUAUUUAUCCUUCUCUACCAGAUAUUUUUUUUCAACUCCCAUAGAUUCCAAUGACAUAUUUAAGGAGAAAAACAAAGAAUUUGCAAUUGUUUCCCAGCAACGUGCAAAUUGGUACUUAAUUGAGAAUUAAUGGUGUGCUAACUGUUCAGUGCUGCCAUUCUCACUGCAAAUUGCACUGGGACCCGCUUGCACUCCUGACUUUGACAUGCUUUUUAUAGGGGUCCAUGAGUAAUUUGAUCUGUAAAAGGGAGCGAAGAUUCCACCUCCUGAAGGAACAGUCCUAAUUAGUAGUGAAAUCUAACUGCUUUUCUCCGUCAGGGUCUCUCUCUCUGGCUAUGUUUGGCUUAAUGCAAACCCCUGCCAUGCUGAGUCUCUACAUUGGAUAGUCCAAUACAGACUGUUUAAUUUUAAUUUCCUUUAGCAGAGUCAGUAUUCAAUUAGCCACACCAAUGAAGGGUUGCAUUAACACACAUAAUAACCCAGAAUGAUAGCAUGGAGCUUCGGUGUUUACAAAGUACUUCCGCAUUCGCUCUUCCCAAACACUGCACUUAGCAACAAUCCUAAGUCUCAUUUUUCAGACAAGAACAGUUUAAACCCCAAGAUCUAAGGAUGUGUCCAAAAUCACACUGUGAGAAGUAGAAGAGGCCCAGAACCAAUUCCAUAGUUUUUAAACCCAUUCAUUUUUUGUGUAUUUUUAUCAAGAAAUUAUUUGAUUGGUGCUAUUGCCUCAAGUUUAUAAUAAUACCUUUGUCAGUUCACUCCUGUUUCUGUAUCAUCCAUUGAUUCUUUUUUGACUGAGCAAUAUUGUGACCACACCUGCUAACUUGCUUUGGAGACCAGAAAUUAAAAAUGAAGGUAAG
Mus musculus (house mouse) is the source of this 3261-nucleotide long non-coding RNA. RefSeq annotates it as predicted gene, 34421. Lineage: Eukaryota; Metazoa; Chordata; Mammalia; Rodentia; Muridae. The record is from RefSeq and is a predicted model, not a curated record. The transcript has 3 exons.